GAUGAACGCUGGCGGCGUGCCUAAUACAUGCAAGUCGAGCGAACGGACGAGAAGCUUGCUUCUCUGAUGUUAGCGGCGGACGGGUGAGUAACACGUGGAUAACCUACCUAUAAGACUGGGAUAACUUCGGGAAACCGGAGCUAAUACCGGAUAAGAUUUUGAACCGCAUGGUUCAAAAGUGAAAGACGGUCUUGCUGUCACGUAUAGAUGGAUCCGCGCUGCAUUAGCUAGUUGGUAAGGUAACGGCUUACCAAGGCAACGAUGCAUAGCCGACCGGAGAGGGUGAUCGGCGACCCUGGAACUGAGACACGCUCCAGACUCCUACGGGAGGCAGCAGUAGGGAAUCUUCCGCAAUGGGCGAAAGCCUGGCGGAGCAACGCCGCGUGAGUGAUGAAGGUCUUCCGAUCGUAAAACUCUGUUAUUAGGGAAGAACAUAUUUGUAAGUAACUGUGCACAUCUUGACGGUACCUAAUCAGAAAGCCACGGCUAACUACGUG
This 497-nucleotide ribosomal RNA is filed under the name uncultured bacterium. RNAcentral's name for it is "partial 16S ribosomal RNA". It matches the Rfam family "Bacterial small subunit ribosomal RNA", at positions 28 to 507 of the family's 1533-position model. The record is from RNAcentral.